AUUGAACGCUGGCGGCAGGCCUAACACAUGCAAGUCGAGCGGAUGAAGGGAGCUUGCUCCUGGAUUCAGCGGCGGACGGGUGAGUAAUGCCUAGGAAUCUGCCUGGUAGUGGGGGAUAACGUCCGGAAACGGGCGCUAAUACCGCAUACGUCCUGAGGGAGAAAGUGGGGGAUCUUCGGACCUCACGCUAUCAGAUGAGCCUAGGUCGGAUUAGCUAGUUGGUGGGGUAAGGGCCUACCAAGGCGACGAUCCGUAACUGGUCUGAGAGGAUGAUCAGUCACACUGGAACGGAGACACGGACCAGGCUCCUACGGGAGGCAGCAGUGGGGAAUAUUGGACAAUGGGCGAAAGCAUGAUCCAGCCAUGCCGCGUGUGUGAAGAAGGUCUUCGGAUUGUAAAGCACUUUAAGUGGGGAGGAAGGGCAGUAAGUUAAUACCUUGCUGUUUUGACGUUACCAGCAGAAUAAGCACCGGCUAACUUCGUG
This 484-nucleotide ribosomal RNA is filed under the name uncultured bacterium. Its description in RNAcentral is "partial 16S ribosomal RNA". It matches the Rfam family "Bacterial small subunit ribosomal RNA", at positions 30 to 507 of the family's 1533-position model. The record is from RNAcentral.